This 329-nucleotide ribosomal RNA is filed under the name uncultured bacterium. RNAcentral's name for it is "bacterial SSU rRNA". It matches the Rfam family "Bacterial small subunit ribosomal RNA", at positions 568 to 899 of the family's 1533-position model. The record is from RNAcentral.
CGUGUAGGCGGUGCGGUAAGUUGGGCGUGAAAUCCCCGAGCUUAACUCGGGUGGGCCGUUCAAGACUGCCGUGCUAGGGUGCGGGAGAGGGAAGUGGAAUUUCCGGUGUAGCGGUGAAAUGCGUAGAUAUCGGGAGGAACACCUGCGGCGAAGGCGGCUUCCUGGACCGUAACCGACGCUGAGGCGCGAAAGCUAGGGGAGCAAACAGGAUUAGAUACCCUGGUAGUCCUAGCCCUAAACGAUGAGCACUGGGUGUGGCCCCUCACGAGGCCGUGCCGAAGCUAACGCAUUAAGUGCUCCGCCUGGGGAGUACGGUCGCAAGGCUGAAA